RNAcentral lists this long non-coding RNA (3626 nucleotides) under Homo sapiens (human). RNAcentral's name for it is "HSALNT0284506". Lineage: Eukaryota; Metazoa; Chordata; Mammalia; Primates; Hominidae. The record is from RNAcentral.
UUUAACAUGAAUAGUACAUGAGAAACAUAUAAAAAUUAUGAAAAACUCAAAAAAAGGUUACAAUGGUUGAUGCUUUAAUAACCUUAUUGCAGAGAGGGAAGUGGUGUUGGUUAGGUGGUGGUUUGGGGGGGUGGCUCUUGUAAAUGAAUGGGCCUGAAGACCAGAAAAUGGUUUGGAAAUGAUUGAUAAUGGACACAGAAUGGGAUCAAAGGACAAACAAGAACUUUUAGACAAGUUACAUAAAGGUAAGGAGAUGGAAUUGCAUUGUAACUAAAAGUUGUUUUAUUAUGCAAAUACAGUCCCUCAGGUAAUCUCUUGAAACAGGCUCAGAAGAAUAGACAAAAAGUAUGUCUGUGAUUGGUGAGUACCCCCAGUCUCUUCUCCAGUGUUUAAUCUUUCCAGGUUAUUUAAUGAGAUUCAUAGGGAGGGGAUUUUAAGACAAUUGGAAUUUGUUUAGACAUUUUCUCAGUCAAACAAGGGAACUUCCAUAGAGAGUCCUUUCCAGUUCUUUAGAAAAGAAAGAGAAUCAGAGAGACAGAGAAGUGAGGGAAAGUCAAAGAGAGAGACCUUAAGGCUUCUUCUUUAGAUUAGCUUAUCAAAGCACCAUAUUUGGGGUUAUCUGUUUCUGAGUCCUAACACAGUACAUGAAGUCUCCAGAAUUUAUACAUCUUAUAAUUGCAAGUUUUUAUCUGUUGACAAGCAUAUUCCCAAUUCACCUUUUCCUAACCCCUGGUAACAACCCUUCUACUCUCCGUUUCUAUGAAUUUGACUUUUUAUAUUUCACAUAAGUGGGAUCAUCAAGUAUUUGUCUUUCUGUGUCUGGUCUAUUUACCCAGGAUAGUGUUCCCCAGGUUCAUCCAUGUUGUUGUCACAAAUAGCAGGAUUUCCUCCUUUUAAAGUCUGAUUAAUAUUCUAUUAUAUUGGUAGUAUUUCUUCAAUGAUAUUCCGAUUGGAUAAUCUAUCCAUUGUUGAUUAUAUUUUAUAUAACAUAUUAUAAUUUAAUAUAUAGUUUAUACUUUUAUCAAUUUAUCGUUGACAGACACUUUUUUAAUAUCUUGGCUAUUGUUAAUGAUAUGGUAAUUAAACAUGGGAGUGCAGAUAGUGAUUUUAAUUCCUUUGGAUAUAUGCCCAGAAAUGGGAUUGCUGGAUCAAAUGUAUGAGAUAAUAUGGUGGUUUUAUUUUUAAUUUUUUGAGAAACUUUCAUAUUAUUUUUCAUAAUGUCUGUUCCAAUUUACAUUUCUACCACCAAUGUAUAAUGAUUCACUUUUUUACACAUUCUCACCAACAUUGCUAUCUUUUGACAUUUUUAUAAUAGCUACCAUAACAGGUGUGAGGAUCUAUCUCAUGGUUUUGAUUUGCAAUUUCCUAAUGAUUAAUUACGUUCAAUACCAUUUUAUAUACCUGUUGGCCAUUUGUAUAUUUUUUAAGAAAAAUUCUGCUCAAGUAUUUUACCCAUUUUUUUUAACUAGGUUGUUAGUUCUUUUGCUAUUAAGUUGUAUGAGUUCCUUAAAUAUUUUGGAUAUUAACCCAUAUCAGACACAUAGUUUGACAAUAUUUUUUUUCCAUUCUGCAGGUUGUCUUUUCAUUUUGCUGAGUGUUUCUUUGAUAGUUUAGAAGCAUUUUAGUUUGAUGUAGUCCCAGUUCUCUGUUUUGCAUUUGUUUCCUGUGCUUUUGGUUUCAUAUCCAAUAUAUUAUUGUGCAGACCAAGUUCAUGGAAUUUUCCUGUUUCCUUCUAGAAGUUUUAAGGUUGUAGAUCUUAGGUUAAAGUCUUAAAUGCGCUUUGAGUUUUUUAUUGCUAUGAUUUUUCCCUGUUAGAACUGCUUUUGCUGUACCCCGAAAGUUUUGAUGUGUUGUGUUUUCAUUUUCAUUUGUCUCAAGACAUUUUUUAGUUCCUUUUUGAUUUCUUGUUUGAAAGUUCAAGAGUGUCUUGUUGAAUUUCUAAAUAAAUUGUAAAAUUUCUGCUUUUUCUCCUGUUACUGAUCUCCAGUUUUAUAACAUUGUUGCGAUAAAAGAUGCUAGAUAUGAUGAUUUUAAUCUUCUUAAUUUUGUUAAAAUUUGUUUUCUACCCUAGCAUAUGAUCUAUCCAAGAUAAUGUUACAUGUGUCAAGAAGAAUGCAUAUUUUGCUGUUGUUGAUUGGAAUGUUCUAUAUAUGUCUGUUACAUCUGUUGGUCAAAAGUAUAGUUAAAUUUCAACAUUUCUUCAUUGAUUUUCUGUUUGGAUAAUCUAUCCAUUGUUGAAGGUGGAGUAUUUAAGUCCGCUACUAUUAUCAUAUUUAUUUAUAUUAGACUAUGGAAAUUAUGUUAGACAAAAAGCAAAUUUGAACAAUUUUCUUAUUUGAGUUCAAAAUGAGUUCCAAAGCAACAGAGACAACUUGCAACAUCAACAAUGCAUUUGGCUGAGGAACUGCUAAUGAACAGAGAGUGCAGUGGUGGUUCAACAAGUUUUGCAAAGGAGGGGAGAGCCUUGAAGAUGAGGAGCAUAGUGGCUGGCCAUUGGAAGCUGACAACAACAUAUUGAGAACAAUCAUCAAAGCCGAUCCUCAUCCAACUACAUAAGAAAUUGUCAAAGAACUCAAUGUCAACCAUUCUAUGGUCAUUCAGCAUUUGAUGCAAAUUGGAAAGGUGAAAAACUUUGAUAAGUGCAUGCCUCAUGAGCUGAGCAAAAAUUUUAAAAAUCAUCGUUCUGAAGUGUCAUCUUCUCUUAUUUUAUGCAACAACAAUGAACGAUUUCUUGAUCUGAUUGUGACAUGCAACAAAAAGUGGAUUUUUAUACAAUGACCAGCUCAGUGGCUGGACUGAGAGGCAGCUCCGAAGCACUUCCCAAAGCCAAAUUUGCACCAAAAAAAGGUCAUGGUCACUGUUUGGUGGUCUGCUGCCAGUCUGAUUCACUGCAGCUUUCUGAAUCCCAGCAAUACCAUUACAUCUGAGAAGUAUGCUCAGCAAAUCAAUGAGAUGCACUGAAAACGGCAAUGCCUGCAGUUGGCAUUGGUCAACAGAAAGGGCAUAAUUCUUCUCCAUGACAACGCCCGACUGCAUGUGUCAGUACCUCACCUCUCACCAACUGACUACCGCUUCUUUAAGCAUCUCGACAACUUUUUGUAGGGAAAUGCUUCCACAACCAUCAGGAUGCAGAAAAUGCUUUCCAAGAGUUCGUCAAAUCCUGAAGCAUGAAUUUUUACACUACGGGAAUAAGCAAACUUGUUUCUCAUUGGCAAAAAUGUGUAGAUUGUAAUGGUUCCUAUUUUGAUGAAUAAAGAUGUUAGAGCCUAGUUAUAAUGAUUUAAAAUUCACAGUCGAAAACCACAAUUAUUUUUCCACCAAUUUCUUCCUUUAGAUACAUUAAUAUUUGCUUAUGUAUUUAGAUUAUUUUAUAUUGAGUGCAUACAUAUUUACAAUUGUUAUAUCCUCUUAAUAAAUUGACAUUUUUAUGAUUAUAUAAUGAUCUUUUUGUCUCUUGUCCUUACUGCAAUUGACUUAAAAUCUAUUUUGUCUAAUAUAAAUAUAACUCCACAUAUUAUAUUUUGUUUUCUAUUUGCAUGGAAUAUUUUCCAUCCCUUUACUUUCAGUCCGCAGAUGGGAUUAAAGCUGAAUUGAGUCUUGCAGACAGCAUAUAUUUAGAUUUUUUU